RNAcentral lists this long non-coding RNA (19452 nucleotides) under Sorghum bicolor (sorghum). RNAcentral's name for it is "long non-coding RNA (SBIC_LNC000158)". Lineage: Eukaryota; Viridiplantae; Streptophyta; Magnoliopsida; Poales; Poaceae. The record is from RNAcentral.
AGGACAUCAUCUGGGAAAUCAGAUGCUGGAAGCCCCCAUCUUUUAUUUUUUUAUGCUAUAGAUCUCUAAACAUUACUUUUAGGCAGUGUUUGGUUCUCUCUGUAAUGGUAGCAGAAAGUCACGGUAAUGCAAUCCGACAGGGCGAAUACAGGAUUUGUUUCAGAGGACCCGUAUCAGUAUUUUUCUAAGACCAAAGACAGCUCGUCAUAUGUUCUCUGAAUUUUUGUGGCGCCCAAUAAUUCAUCCUGCUGCCUUGUUCACUUGAGCUUAUUAGUGGAAUAACCACGAAUCAACCAGCUAUUCAGCAAUGUUUUUCUCUCAAAAAAAAAUCAGCCAACAGAAAACUUUGAAUAGGACAAUUUUGCCCAUCUCUAUACUUUAUACUCUCUCUUCAUCAAUUCCUAGAGUUAUCUAAGUCAAAUUUUUUAAAUUUUAACCAAAAUUCUAUAAAAAAUACUAAAAAUUAUAGUACCAAAUUAGUACCAUUAGACUUAUUAUAAAAUAUAUUUUCAUAAAAUACUCAUUUUAUGUCAUAGAUAAGUUUGACUUGUAUGGAUUCUAGAAAUUGAAGCUUUAAGAGAUAGAAGUAUUUAAGCUUUUAAUGAAAAUUACCCUUUUUAAAAAAAAAGUACAUGAGAAAAACGUUGUACACAGAAACCGUCAAAAUAAUUCUUGUACCUUUUCUAUAUAAAAAAGACAAGCAAUAUAUCCAGGCAAAAAUAAUAAUAACGACUCUAAAUGCUUAAUACAUAGGAGAUCAAAAUUUAUCUGUUCAAGUUUCCUGAUACACAAUAAUAACGACGGAUCAAAACUUUUCCAAUUCAAGUUUCCUGGUACAUAUUCCUUAAGCUCAUCUUCAGCAUACAUAGGAGAGAUAUCAAAAUACAACCACUCAUAACAGGGACUUGGCACGAAGAUGAUCAUGGCAACAUUCUACUAGAGAUGCCACACCAAUGCUAUGAAGCGAACUCUGAGCAUCAGUGCCGCUUCUUGGAAGAAGCACUAGAAUCCGCAUUCUUUUUCCUCUUCUUAAGUAGCUCAAUUUUCUCUUUUUUCUUUUCUUUGCCCAUCUGUGUUCACAAAGAAACAGGACAGUCAUAACAGGCAUCCAAAACAGAUGUUAAUUAUAAUUUGAGAAAAUAGAGAAAGGCAAUAAGAAGCAAGACAAAUCAAAGACUACGAAACUAUUAUAGAACUGUCAACUAAUUACUGAAAAAAUGCCUGUGAAGGUAGAUACUAUCAAAGAGGGAACUCAGAAGUCAACAAGAAAAGCUGUUACUAAUAUCAAUCUAACACUAGACCCUUUUUAACAGGAACGGAAGUUAUUUCCAUAGAGAGCAUUACCAGGACUUGUAACCAUAUUCACAUUAAAAACCAAUAGUGCAUACAGGUAUACAGCAAGAGAGAGUACACAUACCUUCAUAGCUUUAUAAAGGCCUUGCUGCUUGCGAGACAUGAGAGCAGUACCAAUGUCAUCAUCAUCCUUCUCCUCUUGUUUAAUGGCAUCCGCCUCGUGAUCUGACUGAGUAUCAUCUUUGGCAUCUGGUGAUUUAUUUGCUUCCUUAUUUGACAGACUAGAGAAAGCAACACCGUCAAUUUCCAUCUUCAGUUCAUCAUGGUAUUGCUUCUCUAGCAUCUCCAACUAGGGAAAAAGAAAAGACAUGCCGAGAUCAUUACACAAAAUGCAUUCAAUACAAGGAAAAAAGAAGCAUUGCAUACCAUGAUACCACUUAAACUGAAAAGAAACACUACCCACCUUCCUCUUCUUUUCAGCAGCUUCGUUAGAUUCUGUUCGAUCCAUCAUUGCUGCUACCAAUGAAUUGUCUAGAUCUUCAUCACCAAUACCAGGAAGAGGCAAGACCUCAUUGCGAGCAGCAGCUUGCAGCCUCUUUAUUGUUUCUGCAUACUCAGGAAUGUAGCCCUCUGCAUCAUUGUCCACAAAAGGAGACAAAUGUGGUGGAGGUACUCUGCAACAUGAAAAAUAAAAUGUCAUAUACUAGCCUACAAAUUAUUAGUUUUCUUUAUUAUUAUUGCAGUGUGUCAGUGGUGAAAAUUAACUCAAUAUUGUAGCAGCAACAUGUGGUAUAGUUGUAGCAGAACCAAGAAAUUAGUAGCAGUGCUAGCAAAUAGUAAGUAAUAGGCUAAGAGUGCAGCUAGAAAGUUCUAUCAGUAGCAAAUGGAGAGCAACUGGCAAUCUGGGCAUAUGCACCAAAGGAGUGCAGAACUUAGCAAAUUUGUAAUCAUGCCUCAUGCAUCAUAUUAAAUAUACAUUGUCACCAAACAGAUUAUACAGCAUAAGCAAUUACAAUAGCAUAUCUGACAGAAUCCACAUAUGGUGCAAUGGUGAAGUCGCAGUUAUCACAAUCCCCAUGUGACAUACCUUCCAACAAGAUAACCUUCUGUUGGCAAUAUGAUACGAGCGUUUACACAAUCAAAGACCCACUGCGGUUGAACAUACUCCCUGGAGAGGAAAACAUGGCUUUGUGUCGGCCUAUCAACAAUCUGCAUUAUAACAGAAGUGGUAGGUUAAGUAAACUGAGAUGCAACUCAAAGAAACCUAACAAACAAACAAACAUAAAACAACCUUCUAUCAAUGUGGGAAAAAGAAACUCAAUGUAGACAAACGAAACAGUUGUAACAGACAACAGAUAUUCUACUAGGGCAAACACAUGAUAGUGUAUUGGCUUAGAAGGGGGUAACACCAUCACUGAUGAUCCACGCCCCACGUCAGCAAGUCAGUCUCAGCGCAGGCAACGAGUGUGGUAUUGUCACUGUGAAUCAUGUAUCUGUUCAAAGGCAUAUCAUGGACUCUUCAAAAUAGAAGGAUGUAUAGCGUGAGGAUGUGAUAUCAUACUCCUAUUUUUUAUUACAAUAUGAAUACUAGCAAGCAUAAAGAAACUUACACUGACCAUUUGAUUUUACUUCACUUGUGCACUUUUCAUUGAUCACCUUUUAUGUUUACGAAUUACGAGAUAUGAUGGUUCCAAGUGUAAUCUGAACAGGUAGCACAUACAAAAAUUGUAUUGCAGUAAUUAUUGCUCCUAGUAUGGCAUUGCUGCUGUUGUACUUUAGCAUGGCGUCUUACUUUAGAGAUGGUACAUCAAUCUCUCCGUCUAUAUAGUUAAACUUUGGAGUAAUUAUUGCAAAUGGAAUCAACCUGGUGGGUGAUAUCUUCAUCUACUUCUUUAAAUGGAGCUCCUUCUCCUUCCCAUGAAACAGUCCCUCCAAAUGCUGGGAUAAUAAAUAAUAGAGACUCCCUAGGCACCUGAAAGUGCACAUAAAGGAUUAGAAAAAUUGGAAAGAUAUUCAAAUCAGAAAUCAAUUGAUCUGCAACCCCAAAAUAGGCUUGCAGUAAUGACAAAUUCCAAUAGCCUACCUCCCGACUCAGGUAGAACUUUAAGUUCUUAAAUAAACCUUUACAUUCUUUAGUAUCGUCAUCAUCUGCAUCAUCAGCAGUUGAUUCUUCUACAAGAUUCAUCAGUGCACCAGGUUCAUUAGUUGGGAGCUGAUGUUGAAGCUGUGCUAAUCUGAGCUCAGAUUCAUCUGCUUUUGAGCUUGCUUUAUUCUUCACAUCCUUCUCUUCCUCAGUUAUUCCAUCAGCUUUACUCUUCUCAUCCUUAUCCUCCAUUACUUCGUCAGAUUGUGAAUUCCCAAUCAUUCUUCUGGAACCAGCAGACAUGUAUCGGCACAAUGCAUAGAGCUCUGGCACCACGCAACAUGAUGUCAGAAAAGGAGUCCACAUAAAAUUAGAAAACAGAGAAAAAAUAAUAUGGCAGUGUAUACAUCCAAGAAAAUGGACAGAGGUGAUUAAAUAAUAAAUAAUAAUAAGCACCAGAACAUACCAGCAGCUAAAGCUUCCAGACGUGGAUCCAGAAUAGGAGGAUAAUUUACAUUUAUUGAAUGAUAGAGCUUGAAGUUCACAAAUCCUAAAAGAGUCUGCAGGCACAACAGGCUCAGUCAAAAGGUUGAAACAAACAUCACAAAUCGCACUCUUGAACUUUCUAAGAGAGCAUUCAUGAAAAUGUGAACAUAUACGAUGUCAAUAGCCAACUACUUGAAACGAAACUAUGCUCAUGGAUAGAUAACAAAAACCAUGUAAUACCGGUAUAUAGCUUCUAAAACACCGCAUCAGUUAUUGGCAUAAUAUGAUAUCUUGAUUGAAAAUGAAUUGCUCAGCAUCCCUACAAUGGAAAUGUAAGCACUACAAUAUCAUCGCUGUGUCUUGAUCAAUAACCUACAGGAUUCUCAGCCUUUGCAAUUACGGGUUAAAAGGACUAAAGGAGGCUUAUGCACCAAGGAAAACCACAGCACCCUUUUGUCUAUAAUAACAAGCCCAUCUUUGAUGAAAAACAAGACAAAUAACCAAUAAUCAGAAGUCAGAUAAAAUAUACUACCAUAUCAUUAGUCUUGGCCUCAAAUUUACUGACAGUUGAACAAAACAUGAAACACACAAGAACUAAGGAGCUCUCCAUAUUUGUUUACCUCAUAGAAUUCUAGAAAAGAGAGCAUCACAUUGAAAUCAACAUCAUCGGUUAAUACUUGCUGAAGAGCAUGAGGGGUUAGCCAGGUGAUCUUUUGUCCUUGAACUUCAGCCUGCAUUACGUGGCAUAAUCAUGAAUUUUGACCAUCAUGUAUGCAAUGACAGAUAAAAGAACCAUGGGAUACAUAAUUACCUGGAAAUAUAUGCCCUUGACGGAAAUAAAUGUCUUCCUCAGGGAAUGAGUUCGGGAUAUGUAUGCUUGCCAUUCAUGGCUUAACCUACAAACAAAACAUUUCAAAACACAUAAGAUUUGAAAUGACUUCAUCACAUGAGAAGAAAAUAAUAAAUAUCCUCUAUAAAAAAUAAAUGAUGAAAGCACACGCUUUUACAUUUAUAAAAUUGUGAUUUUACUUUGGAUGUGACUUGGUGAGGACCACAAAGUGCAAUCCACAGAUUACAUGCAAAUUUGAAGGUUACCAUGUAGGAUAUUAGAGAAACCUAUAGAAUUUUUGUGAUAAGCCAAAAUUCCAGGCACAAUAUAGCUGUACACAUAGUGACAGCAAAAAUAGGUAUUCAGAGCACAAUCACCUAGUGCACUUGGAAAGAACAUGAGUCUCAGGUCAAGAAAAAGACAUGGUAAUUUUAAACAAAGCAUACCUGCGGCAGUUAUGAAUUCGUUUGACUUCAACGCGUUCACCAUCAACAGCAGGUAAUGCCGCAAACAGAUGCACCAUUGUAAGGCAGUCAUCCAAGUCACGAAGAGCAUCAACAAAUGUUGGAUACCUGUUCGAUAAAGAAAAGAACAGUUGAUGCUGCAUAGAGAGAGUACUCGAUGAACUCAUGGAUAAUCAUGUUUGGUUCGCUUGAUACCUUUCAAGGACAAGCCUAUCAAGUUUGUAAGUUGGUGGCCGAUUCAACAGCCUGUCUGCGAGAUCCCUGUUUUUCUUAGCAACAGCCUUUUUAACCUUCCUUCGAUGGACCUUAAUCUCCCUGAAAUCAAAUGAAAUACGAAUACCAUCAAGGAAUUAAGCACAUUAAACAUAGAAAGUCAGAAUUCUUAGCAUUGUUUUACUGAGAUAAAAUGCAAUAGGAACUAUUCCUCAGGAAAAAUGUAGCAUUCUUAGGAACUAUUCCUCAGCUUUUAGUUCAUUUCCUCAGAAGCCAGAUUUCCAGCUUUACAAAAGCCAGCUCAAGAUCUAGGCUGUUUGUUUCAGCUUCUGGCGUUUGGCUGGGUGAAGCCAGCAAAAAACUGAAACAAACAGGCCCUUAGCAUGAUCUUGUUCACUUGUUCAUAUACUCUAAUCGCUCCUAGAGAAAACAAAUACAGUAUGGCAGUAGUGAAAUAAUUAAUUUUGCUGAUCACAUAGAGCACCUACACCAAGAUUUGUAUCAUAAACAACCGUCUCAUGAUAAUGCAGUCAGAUAUUCAUCGCCAACAAACAAGGAGCCAAGAGGCUACCACUAUUAGGGCCAGUAAGAAGCAGAAGCUGAAACAAACAGCAUGCUUCUGGAGCUUCUUUUGUGGAUUCUGAUAUGAUGUAAUGGUGAGCGCCAGUGAUAUUUCAUAUGUUAUACACUUCAUCAUACAGAAUUUUAAUCCAAAAUCAGCUUUUCCAAAGUGAACAAAAAAAGAUGCUCUUGAUUCAUGCAACCAAACAAAUUAUGGCUCAGGUUAACUAGCAUGAAUAAGAUGCUGUUCAGAUUGGCUAUUCAGCCAUUUAAUAGAUAAGUUCGUUAAAAAUGUUCUUAACCGUUCUAGAAAAAAAAAUGUCUGUUAAAUCUUGAUCCAUCUUUCUUUAGUUGGAAGUGAAUGUUGUUUAUCCUUUUUCUAGUUUUUUCAGGAAAAAAAACAACAGGUAAUGGUUUAGUUGAAGUUGAUUUAGUUCAGCCUAUAUUGUUAAAAGAAUAAAAAUCCAAACAAACCCUAAUACUGUUCCAUUACUUAACACACAUAAAAACCACUUUUCAAACUGAACAUACAUAUACAGAAGUAUUCAUGGAAUAUUGUAGUAUUCUCCAGGCCCUAAAUUGAGGGCGAAGGAAUUAGAGUGACCCCCUCUGUAGCCUCCCUGAACCGAAUAUUGUGGCACAAAUAUUUGGUAUGAAAAGCUACCUGAACUUCUCGAUCAAAGGGUCAUGAGCAAGGAAUGCAAUAUCCUUCGUGUGGUAGUAGGUCUUGUGGUUCCCUUCCACCUUCUUCUUUGGCUGCCGCGGAAAGACACCCUUUAGAAUGCAUAGCUUCCUGCAAUAAAUAGGAAAAUGACAAUAUAUAAAUGGAGUUCAAGGAUUCGAACUAACACGAGCCAUGUAGAAGACAGUGGCUACAUAACGGACAUAACAAAUAGUAGUAAUUAAGCUUAAUGGACAAAUAACUGCAAAAAUGACUAAAUUUCCGAGUUACAGCAUAUAUGAUUGGCAUCAGCAUACGAGCUUAUUCAAAAUAGUACGCCGUCUAGGUGACGGCUCGCCGGCAAUAAACAGUGGUAGUCGGGAGAUAGUGACGAACCUGAAGAUUGCGAGGCUAACUUGCAGGUAGUUGACCGCCUUGGUCCUCGUGAUGUACUUUGCCGCAUUCCCCUCCUUCUUCUUACCCUAAGACAUGGCAAGAACAGCACGUCAGAGACCACGGCACAUCACAAAGAGAAAGUCCUUUGAGAGGCAGGAAGAACCAGGGCGAUGAGACGAUUACCGCAGGGCGGUAGUGCUUCGGCAUGGCGGCGGCGGCGGAGGUCGCUCCCCGUGCCGGGAAAGGGAGGGGAAAAGAGAGGAGUAGAUGGGUUUUAGGGUUUUGGUUUAUAUGCCGGCGGGACGAGGCGGCUUUGGCACUUGGGCUGAAGAAGUGAAGAUGUCGGCCUGCCCAGCGUCUGCUCGCAGAGUUUUUCCCAUUUUUUUAUAGAAAACUAGUGAACUGCCCGUGCGUUGCUACGGGUAUACAUAGGCUAUGACCCUAGUACAUGUAAAACAUAGGAAAAAUCACAUGAACCACAAACAAUUAACACAGAAACACAUAGGUCAGCCCAAUUUCUUUGUAUCAAAGAAAGCACAAAGUUCAUAAUCAAAGCGAACAAAGGUUAGAUAUUUAUCUUUACAGAAAAGAGACAUGUUAGAAAUGAUAAUGACAAUCAAAGUGAACAAAGGUUAAAUAUUUAUCGUUACAGAAAAGAGACAUGUUAGAAAUGAUAAUGACAUCUUAUCUGCCUCCUCUAUUACCCCAAAUACAAAUGGAUACAAUACAAGUUAUUCUAUAUUACUUUUGCCUCCUCUAUUACUUGAAAUUGCUCUAUCCUAGCUCUCGCCACUUCCAACAGGCAUCGCCACCAUCAGCUUGCCUCCUCACCUCACAGUCACAGCAAAAAGUCAUGGUCCUCCAUGCUCCAUUACCAGAAUGUUGUACCACGCCCCACCUUCACGCCUCCAUGGAUCUGGUCAUGGACCCAUCACCGUCAAUGAACCGCACAUUGUGCAUAUAGGGUAGAAAAAUAGAUACUUGCUUAUGCUGUCGACAACUCAAGCAUCAUUUCGUAUACAUCAAUAUGCGAGUCUAUUAAAUUUAACUAAGAAAAUAUAAGUAUUAUUAUAUGCAAACAAACAACUGUUAUUCAAAUAUUGUCAAUGGAUAUGGAUACUUACAAGGAAAUAUUAAAUAUCUCACAAGCAAUAUGUCUAGUAAAUCAAAAUCAACUACAGGAAUGGAUCUUAACUUAUUAAGUGCCUGAUCUAGGUUUUGAAUCAGUAGUUAGUUUUCGCUCAGAUAAACAAAGUUUCAGCACCAACAAAUAUAAUAGCAACAUGUUAUAGGAGAGCGUAACCGAUAUACAUGAACCAAGCACUAACAGGAUCAAUCUGUUCUAUGAGCAAAUAGGUCAUGACUACCUGAUGAUUGUGCAGAGAAACAAGAAAGUGAUAGGUCACAACCUGAGACUGCACUUUGACUCCUUGCAUGUAAAGGUUUUUUUUUCGCUAACACGCCCGCCCCAGAAUGGACGUGUAUUUCAUUAAGCAGAAGUAGAAUCCAACCCAAAUACAGUUAAAAGAAACUAUUUGAAGAUAGGACACCAACUGUGUGUACCCAGGAAAGACUAAACUAUCUGAAGAUAGGACACCAUAUCCUAUUUGAACUACACUGAAAAUACAGAACCUGAAAACAUAGAUAGAGCAAGAAAUUCGGAAAACUUUGAAAUGCAGAACCGAUGCAACUGUAUAAGAAACAUUUGGCAGCUGCUACGGUCAGCUCAUUAAACUAUUCGGCUUGCAGCUUGAGCAGAAUUCUCCAUAAAGUAUAUAAUCAACUAACAAAUACGAUGUAGUAUCAUGAAUCAAUUUAGUUGCAUCAAAAUAAUCCCUUUGAGUGCAGCUAAAGCUCUAAAGGUCCAAUCCUAGUGUCAUACUACUAAACCCUAAAGAUAUGACAUUUUGAUAACACAAAUUACAGAGCACCUAUAAGACUAUAAUAUGGCCCAAAUCUAAAGCAAAUUUAAUACUAAACUUGAACACGUCUAAUAAAUUAAAAAUAAGACUGCAAUACUCCCAAAAAGCACGUUCAAGUAACCUUCAAACUGAAGCAAACUUAAUUAGCAUUUGUUGAUGCCACUGAAGCAAAAACAUAUAAUAAGCAGAUGGCGUACAACAGUGGAAAAUAAAAGAAGGUUCUUCAUUUUGACAAUAAAAUCAAUGUUGGAUACGGUGUAAAUAUAACCAAAAGACUGAAUUUGUCUGGCAAUUUCGCAAUACAGAUGAUAGCACACAUCAGUUCAGAUACAAACCUAUAAAUUCCGAUGCACUGAUGCUCCUGCCUCUUAUAGACUCACUCACUCAUCCUCCUUUCUUUGCAGUUUUACUUUGGUGUCAAAUGGAACAAUAAAUUAGCUUACAAGAUGGAACAAAAUAGUCCAGAUGCAAUAAGUAUAUGGGCUUACAUGUUACUGAUCCAAUGAAGCGCUAACCAUCUUGUUUAGUACUGUAUGGCCGAUGUUAUCUGAUUAAAACAAUAGCAGUACUUCAGCAGCAAGAAAUCAACAAUCAAAAUAUCAGGUAAGUAAUGAGAUAUCUGAAUAUGUAGUCAGUAAAAUUUUAACUAUAAUUUGCAACAAUUUACUGAUGCAGAUGACCCAUAGAUGGAAUUUAUUUUUGUAAUGUGACACCUGCAUCCAACCACAUAAUAUGAUGAAUUAAAAAAAGUCAUAUGUAUGCAAUAGUUGAGUUCUGUAGUGAUCUGGUUAUUAAUUUAUACUCAGAGCAUGAAUAUAUACGAUUGCAACGCAUGGGCACUUGAUUUAUAGCUUAUGAAAAAUAGCAUUAUAAUUUGCACUCUUUCGAGUAUAUAAGGUCAGGGCUGAUCAAUCAGCAACUGUGGUCCUCCGCAGAUCUCCACGAUUCCAUUGGUCAGUCUAAGUAGCAGUGUAGAAAGAAGAAAACUAACCAUAAAAAGGCUUAUGUGUGGCAUGAAUGCAACAGAAGUUAUAGAUGACAACUUGAACAAAAAAAUCCUAUUCGGAGCCAUAUCUAUGAUUGAUAUGCUAUUUGCAAUCACUGCAGAAAGAGCGAAACUUAUAUUGUUUUGUUUUGUUCAAGUGGCGAGUAAGAUGAUUGUGCCUUGAAGAAAUUAACUCUUCUGCAAUAAGCAAAGCAGUGUCGUUUUUUCCCUAGCCUAACCAUGUAGGAUAAAGCAUUGUCACAGGUGUGUACCUGACACUGAGAAGAGAUGGGAGAUUGUCUGAGCGAGGCAGUGGUGUUCGCGGGGAAGGGGCAGGGAGACUAUCAGCAUGCUUCAAUAGCGGCGUGCGACCGCCUAUCUUCCCUUCCCGACAGCAGGCUCGCCCGGCGGUGUGGAGACACGCGAGCUCCGGUGAAGGAGUUGAAUGGAGCAUUUGACCUUCGACCCUGGCUCGGGGAAACGCGAGCAGGCCACAACUCGGGGAACCGUACGGGAGGCGACGGCGGCGAGGCGAUGUCGCAGCGAGGCCACAGCGACCGUUGCCGCUCGAUUCGCCUGCUGCCUGUUUCUUAGUGCACGGCAACAGCGGCAUGGCGAGGUUGUGCAGCGGCUUCACGGUCGCGGACGCAGGGGUCGUAGGUGUCGCCGCCGGCGAGGUCAUCCAGCGGCGUCGCGGUCAUUGGCGAGGUCGUCCGGCGGUGUCGGGGUCGCAGGCGUCGCGUUGUCCAGCAGCAGCACGGCUGUGGUGUCUUGGCGUGGUGGUCUGGCGGCGGUUCCUUAGAGGCUUAGGCCAUGUUUAGAUUGGAGAUGAAAAUUUUUUGGGUGUCACAUCGGAUGUGUCGGAAGGAUGUCGGGAGAAGUUUUUAGAAACUAAUAAAAAAACAAAUUAGAUAGCUCAUCAGUAAACUACAAGACAAAUCUAUUAAGCAUAAUUAAUCUAUUAUUAGCACAUGUGAGUUACUGUAGCACUUAAGGCUGAUUAUGGAGUAACUAGGCUUAAAAGAUUCAUCUCACAUUUUUUAAUUAAACUGUGUAAUUAGUUUAUUUUUUAUGUACAUUUAAUGUUCCAUGCAUGUGUCCAAAAAUUUGAUGGGAUGGACGAAAAAAAUUUGGAUGGGGAACUAAACAGGGCCUUAGAUCUGAGCUGGGGUGGGCGUAGUGAGCGAGAGAUUCUUUUUGAGGAGACAAUAGGGAGAGGGGAGACUGCGUGGGAGGAAGUUUUUUUUUCGAGCGUCGGGAUUAGGGGAGGCAGGCCGAUUAGUUGUAGUAUGACGAUAUCACUUGGGGUUUUUUAGUUGUAGAGAUAUAAUAUAUUUAGACUUGUUUGGCAUAGCUCAACUCUAAUAAUAAUGUUGUUUUUAAAAAAAUAGCUUUAUGAGCAACUUUAUAGGUGAAGUUGAGAUAUUUUAAAAAAAAGAUUUUGAUAAAAUAGCUUCAUCAACUACUUUAUGUAUAGAUGAGAGAGGAAUGGGGGAGGGAGCUGUAAUAAGGCCUUGUUUAGUUUUGGGGGUUUAGGUACUAUAGCACUUUCGUUUUAUUUUACAAUUGUUGUCUAAUUAUGGACUAACUAGGCUCAAAAAAUUAUCUUGUACAGGCAAACUAUGUAAUUAGUUUUUGUUUUCAUCUGUAUUUAAUGCUCUAUGCAUGUGUCACAAGAUUCGAUGUGACGGAGAAUCUUGAAAAGUUCUUGGUUUUUGAGGUGAACUAAACAAGACAUAAGCUACUUUUUUCAGUUUCAUCCUAGGCCUUGUUUAGUUCCAAAAUAUUUUGCAAAAUCGACACUAUAGCUCUUUCGUUUGUAUUUGACAAAUAUUGUCCAAUCAUGGACUAACUAGGCUCAAAAGAUUCGUCUCGUCAAUUUCGACCAAAUUGUGCAAUUAGUUUUUAUUUUUAUCUAUAUUUAAUACUUCAUGCAUGUGUCUAAAGAUUCGAUGUGACGGAGAAUCUGAAAAAUUUUGCAAAAUUUUUUGGAACUAAACAAGGCCCUAACUCAUGUCUUUAUGAGGGGAGAAAAAAAUAGCUUCACCCAUAAAAUUAUUUUAGAAAUAAAUGUUUGACAAAAAACAGUUUAUAAAGCUAUUGUGAGCUAUACUAAACAGACUAUUAAUAGUCUUAUCCAAAUAAUCAAAUGAAAGUGGGAAACGGUGCAUGCAAAAUUAAGCCCGGCAUGAUAUUCAAUCUAUGCUCGGGUCUCACAACUAGUCUAAACAGGUCUAUAUCACCACCUUGCCUAAGCGAGACCCUAAGGGCGAGCGGUGCCAUGGCUGCACUAUUCUAUAUUGUCAUUUGUGAGUUGAAAUGACAUAAUUGCUUAAGUUUGAGGAAUUAUUUAAAUAAAUAAUUUAUGACUUUAGAGGCUGAGAUCACACGAUGAAACAAUUUUAAAGGUAGAAACAAGUAACAUGUGAGUUCAAAGACCGAGAUAACUCAACUAAGCAAGUUUAAAAACUAGCAAUGCACUUUACUCUUCUAAUUUAAGAACCAAGUGAUAGUGUGGCGAGUGGUACAUUUACCGAAUAAUGCCUCCCCAAAGCUGCCUCCCCAAAGCAUAAAUGAUAUUUUUAAUAGAUGGUCAGAGAGGGCUAAUAAGAAACAUAACACGUUAUUUUUGACAAUAGCGCACUUUAUUAAAUAGUUUAGCUGAAACAAGGUGGUUUUUGAUAACCGUAGACCAAAUUUUUUGAUAACCGUAGACCAAAAUUUUUUUAUAGGUACUUUAGCUUCGGCAAUGGGCUGUGAUGAUCAACAAGAUCAGCUUGCCUUGGUUGGGCAGCAUCUAGAGACGUGAGCCUUGCAUUUCUUUACUUUCAAUUGAUGACUGUCAACUAGAUUUUUUAGCUGAUUUUUUAGCUUUACGAGCCUGUUCGCUGGUCUGAAAAGUCAUGUCUGAAAGUAUCGUUUGCUGAUUUAUUAUGAGAGAAAAAACACUGCUAUGUGGCAUAAAAGGUACGGCUUAUAAGACAAGCAAAUGGAGCUAGUCAAUACUUUACCUUAUUUUUAUAUUUUCCUUAUGUUUUGUUGUAAGUUGGAAUACACUAUAGCUUGCGCGCUAGCCUACAGGCUAAAAUUUGUAAUAAUUAACCUGAUUAUAUAUUUAUAUUGGUUGAUAGAUGAAGUUAAACAUAAACUAUUCUUUAUUUAUUUUUAAAAAUUUACAAAAGUUGUUUCAUCCUUUGCCCGCUAACGAUCAAACUCUAGUUUUGACUCAUUUUUCUAUUUGUAGGCAGCACAGUCAUGCCUCCAUGACGACGGUGAUGGAAGUGAGCCCCCCCCCCGGCGAUGUUUCCCAUGUGGUAGGGUAAAAAUAAAUAAAAAAUGGUAACCACAAAUAUGAAAAUAGAAACAUUUUGGGCCCCUAACGGUUAUUGGUUUAUUUUACUCCCACAUCACUAUCAUUGGGUAUUUGAAUCUCCCAUAAGGCCGAUGCCAUAUUUAUUUAAUAGAUAACAUAUUUGAUUUGUUCACGAGGGAAAAUGUGAAACUUUCAUGGUCUAUUUGUUAUGGCGAAUGAAUUCACCCGACAUGAGCUUGUCAAAAACAGAAUGAGUCAAUCUGGAACUUUCAUGGUAUAAUGUAGUUGUUGGUUCGAUCUGUUAGAAUUAACUCUCUGAGGAAGCACUCGGCGAUGAACGGUGUGAUUCCACGCUUCAAACCAAAUAUAAUAUUCAAUUUGUUAGCUUCAGCUGUAGGUUCGAAUCAUUAUAGAUUGCCUUGUUCUGUAUAAACCAAACAUGGUGUAAACAUGGGGCUUUUCUAGUUGUUUCUUAUCAUUUGAACACAAUGAUAUUUCUUGUGACUUUUUUUUUACUUUUACGAUCUACUACCUCUAUUCUAAAUUAUAAGUUAUUUUAAUUUUUCUAGAUUUAUAAGUUUUACUAUAUAUCCCUAAAUGCAUAGCAAAAGUUAUACACAUAAAAAAGCCAAAACGGCUUACAAAUUGAAAUAGAGAGACUACUAUCGAAGACCUUUGUAUGAUGUAUGACAGAUAGAUUGGACGUGCAUACUCCAUAAGAAAAGGUUUGCACGCAGGUGUUUCACAAAAUUUAUUUUUAACCCUCUCAUAAACUUUCUAUACUUCUUUCUCUAUAGUUCUUUUUUUGAGAAACCUAUACUUCUCUUUAAUUUUGAUCCUAGCGGCCCAUCUUUGACCACGCUCAAUGGGCCAGAUCCAUGCAAAGCCCGCAAAGACCGCGUCUUUUGCAAACCUGUUUUCAGAAUCUUGUCCCGAAACCCGCGGGCCCACCUGCCAGUGAGGCAUCGCCCACGAAAUCCAGCAGCGAAAGAACCAGCGCGGCAGCAGCUCCCGCGGUUUCUUUUUUUUCGCGGCGCGCCAUUACGAAAAAGCUCUUCCCGCCGGCGCGCCCCGCGCGACAGAAUCCUCCUCCAUUAAACCCCUCGCGCUCAAUGCCUGCCCGCCAUUUCCUUUCCCUCUCUCCGUCAGCGCCUCUGCCCAUCUCUCUCUCUCAUCUCUCUGACUCAUGGCGACGCGGCGGCGCCUCUCUCCGACUUUCUUCGGCGGUCUACGGGCCCGGGAGCUCGGCGGCGCCAGUGGCUGCUCCCGCGCCAUGGCGGGGCUCCCGUACCUCGCUGACCUCUCCUCCGACCCCGGCGGCCGUGGCGGCGGGGUCAUAGCCGUCGACCACUCCGGCGACGCCGCCAUCCCCUUCGCCAUCUCCUUCGGCAAGGUUCGGAGCCUGGGAUCUGUCCCCCCCCCCCCCCCCCCCCCUCCUAAACAAGGGAUCUCUCAUUUCUCGCGUGCUUUUGCAAAGUCAAACCUUCUUUCUAGCUGCUAUUUGCGAGUACCAAUCUUUUGAUGAAAUUGCCUCGUUCGUCCAGACUGCACAGACCUGUAACCUCCUGGCGGUCGCCGACGAAGACGGGUACGUUGGCCUCUACGACACCCGCCGGCGCCUCCCUUCCGCAUCCUCGUCAAUAGAGAAGUCAGGUGGGUUGGAAACCUUCACUGCUCCCCCGAUUCGAUCCAAGAUUUGGGUGUGCUAGACCUUACGCCGGGUACCUCGUGCGAUCCGUUCUGUUCCAAUCUGACGUCGUCCUUUGCAGCUGAAACGAGGGUGUCCGACUGGGUUGCUCACAACAAUGCAAUCUUUGACGUGUGCUGGAUCAAGGUAAAUUCACUUGCACUGAUUGGAACACUCCAACGAAAUAGCCGCUCCUCAGGUUAAAAUUUCAUCAAUAUGUGUACCUUUCUGACGGAGUUUCAAUCUUAUGUGUUACUAAUGUAGGAGGGAUCCCAAAUGCUGACUGCAUCGGGCGAUCAAACUGUAAGUCGCAACAGGAUCACACCAAUUAUUGAACUAUGAAUUCAUUGUAUUAUGCAAAAUCUCAUUACUAUCGUUCUGCAUCAGGUCAAAAUAUGGAGUGUAGGAAACAGGAAAUGCAUUGGUGUCUUGUCAGGACAUACUGGGAGUGUGAAGUCGCUGUCUUGCCAUUCUUCAAAUCCUGGUUAGUAAUGUAUAUCCUGAAUGGCUGAAGCCUUUCAGUUUACUUUUAUGCAGAUUUAAUCCUCAAAGGUUGGCCACAAACUCCUGUUUAAGUAGUUUAUUUUCUUUGCAGAGCUCAUUGUUUCUGGUUCAAGGGAUGGUUCAUUUGCUCUUUGGGAUCUAAGAUGCGACCCUAAAUCUCCAAACAGCCAUGGUGAAACGUGCCUCACGUAUGUUGCCUAUUGCUAGUAAAUGUUCUCUUUAAACUACAAAUUAAGUGAUCAUAAAUGUUUGUAGCGACAAUACAAAUUCAUUGAACAAAGUUCUGCUACAUGUUAGGUCUUCUGCUGUUGUCAGAGAAGCCCACAGUCCCAUACAGAGGAACCGAACCCGGUCUCGAGCAAAGGUAUUAAAUUGGCAUGAUAUGGCUUUUGCUUGUGACGAUCUUAUGUCCUCUUAUGCCCUCUUAUGCUUAUGUUGGUUUGCUGAAAUUGGUGAAUUUAGGCGGCUUCAACAAGUAUCACAUCAGUUCUUUAUCUGAAAGAUGAUGUCUCCAUUGCUACUUCUGGAGCUGCAGACAAGUAAGCUGCUCUUUCAUUUUUAUUCUGCUUUUUAUUUUUUAACCAACCUUCACAGUUUUUGUAUGGUUUGUAUAGUUUUAUUAAUUGCUAUGUUAUUUUAAACACAAUGCACUUACCUGACGAUGAGUUAGCCUCAUGUCAUCUACUCAUUCUGUUUCUUAAAAAAAUCAGUUUUGUAGAGUAAUUAUCAUAUUUUCAUGUAUCUUGAAAUACUAAUAUUGUACUUUUUUAAAUGUACGCCAGUGUUGUGAAGAUAUGGGAUACACGGAACCUGAAAGUGCCGGUCUCUAACAAAAGCUCUCAAGCAGGGGCCCAGCCUUUGGUAAACAUCUCUAUCCACUAAUGAAUGUUAAACUAGUAGUACAAAAAAAGCACAUUAUCUAAAAAAGUACAAAAAACAAUAGGGAAUUGUGUAUUUCAGAGUAUAAACAUGUAUGCCAAUUUGAAUCAAUAAUUACAGAGUGCUGUGUUUUCAUAGCUCAAUCUGAACAAACUUGGUCCUUUGUUUCUGAAGGAGGGGGUGAAACAUGGCAUCUCUUGCCUGUCUCAAGAUUCGUGUGGUGCAUACAUUGCUGCGUCAUGUAUGGAUAACAGGUAAAUUCAGACCCUGUCAUCAGACACUAAAAUUUUUUCAUGCUAUUGGUAAAUACUGAUUUUGACCGUAUGCAUUUCAGAAUCUAUUUGUACAGUGUUCUCCAUGUGAACAAGGGUCCCAUAAAGGCUUACACUGGCAGCAAAAUAGAGUCUUUCUUUGUCAAGGUCAGUGAGUGGCUAUCUUGGGCUGACUUCCUUUAAAUGUCGAGCUGCUUAUGUUUAGUUUGAUCAAUAUUUGUUCUGAAACACCUAAACUUUGUAUCAUGCAGUCUGCUAUCAGUCCUGAUGGAACUCACAUCCUUGGUGGAUCAAGUGAUGGAAAUGUAUACCUGUGGCAGGUACUUGUCGCAGAUCUGUUGCCUGCUUUCUUACACUAUACUACAUCAUUAUAAUAUUUACAUCCAUGCUUGUCCAUUGACAUAGGUGGAUCGACCUGAAAGUGCUCCUAUAGUUUUGAAAGGCCAUGAAGGCGAAGCAACUUCGGUUGACUGGUACGAUCUACAAACAUAAAUAUUUCUGUGGAACCCUUACUGAUAACCCAAUCCUCAUGCUUCAAUAUGAAUUUAUAUUUCAGGUGUGCAUCAGAGGUUGGAAAGAUAGCAACAUCUUCUGAUGAUUCUACGGUAAGUCUACUUGGUUAUGCCUGAAUUUUUUUUCUUGACACAUACUAAAGAUGGCUCCAUUUGUUCAAUAUAUCAUAUGUGUUUGCGACAGUCUGUUGUAGACAAGAGCAUCUACAAUUUUUGUGCAAAGCAAUGCAUAUCAGAGUAUGAAAUGAAUCAGAAUUCAGAACAUGUGACAAUUCUGUAUUCUGUGUAUCAGGUACGUGUGUGGAGUACCAAGAAAAUGGACUGCACAAAUGUAAGCUCACCAACAGUGAUUCGGAAGCGGAUAACUGCACCAAACACUGAGUACCGAAGGUCCAGUAGCCAUGAGCAUGCUACUACAUCAAGAGAUGCAGUUGCCUGCACUAGUGGUGAUGGUGAAUUGCAAAGUGGUUGCCACUCUCCCCUUCAACCCAGAGCACUGGACUUCGGCACUCCUGAAUCGACAAAGAAGAGGGCCUUCACAUUGGUCCAGGAGGAGGCCCUUGAUGCAAGGAAGAGCCCGGAAGUUCAGAUGAACAGUCCCUCUUCUGUUCUGAGCCCACCACCGUCAUUGAAACGGAGAACGAUUCGGGACUACUUUGCCAGUGCUGCAUCUUGAAUCCUGACAAAUAGCUGGUCCUCAGAAUUCUUAGUGGCCCUGACCCAUGAAGACUAGGGCUUUCUUUAACUUAACUUAUGGUGAAACAGCUCCAAAUUUUGGGAAAUUCUUCUGUAGGUCUAGUUGUGUGAAGUUCAUUAUUGAUCAUUUGGAAAUGCGGUUGUACAUAAUUUGGUAUUGCAGAACCACCCUCUUUACUUUGUAAUAUUGUUUUUUUUUUUCAAUUGAGCUCGGUCUGACAGAAUUGCAGAAAUAUUUCAAUCAAUCUCUAUAAAUUCAAAGGGCAUCUUCAGUUAAAGCUUGCAUGCAACCGUAAAAUUUCCUGGUGAGGUAGGCGUCUUCGAGACUUAGAGCACAGAGAGCACUGUGCUUUGUCAUGCGUCAUUUACUCGUUUUAGAGCUAUGAAGCAUCGCCAAAUUUGUAUCCAAUUCAACCCCCGUCUUGGAUCAUAGGAUUGUUUUUUUUUAGAAAACAGGAGGAGCUUACACCCCUACUGAAGUUUAUUAAAAUUAAAAAAAGAAAGAAAAAGAGUACAUGAGAAGUUCAGAGUUUGCAAUAGUUAUUGCAAAAGUGUCCGUUGGGAAUUUAUUCAUUUAAUAUAGUCAUUGGAAACAUUGUCAGUUUGUCACUGCAAAAGUAGCCAUCGAAAUUACGAAGUAUAUUCCUACAAAUUAUACCCAUUCAAAUUGACACGAUUAAAAUUAACUGUUUCAGUGGAAAUACUAAGCUAAAUAAAGAAGUUAUUGGAGUGGGCUCAAAAAUAGAGAGCCAGCAAGUCUGAAAUAGCAAAAUAUGUUGUUGCUUUAUGGCAUAGAGAUACUCCUGCAGGCUGGAGAGAAGGGUGAUGAACUGGUUAUUUGAAUCCUACGAAGCUCCCAGUCAAUUUGAAUUUGAAUUCUCUAACACGACAGUACAACAUCUACUGGGCCAUAAGUUACCAACCAACUACGCUAGCCGACUCGGCCACCGUCUGCUGUCUGGCGCUGUCCAUGCACAUGUGCACACAUGUACACCGCUUGGCGCUGGCACGCACCCAACGACACACCUGACAGCCCGGGACUCCCGCCUCCGGCCCGCGCGUGCCGUGUCAGCCUCCGUCGAGCGGUGUACUCCAUGCAAGCCUCCACCCCGGCCACGUACCCCCCUCCCUUCCCCUACGUGUCACCGCUCUCGCCACCUAUAUACGGCGGCGGCCUCGGCCAGGCCUUUCCACUUCACUUCUCCCUCCUGCAACUGCAAAGCUCCUUGAUCCACCCUCGAUCACUCACUCCACCACCGCGGCCGCAGCGCGCGCGCACCGCGCAAACAACCAACUCGGCAGCGACAGCAAUGGCGGAUCGCGACCGCAGCGGCAUCUACGGCGGCACCUACGGGCAGCAUCAGCAGGGGGGCGGCCGCCCGAUGGGUGAGCAGGUGAAGGGCAUGAUCCAGGACAAGGGUCCCACGGCGUCGCAGGCGCUGACGGUGGCGACGCUGUUCCCGCUGGGCGGGCUGCUGCUGGUGCUGUCGGGCCUGGCGCUGGCGGCCUCCGUGGUGGGGCUGGCGCUGGCCACGCCCGUGUUCCUGCUCUUCAGCCCCGUGCUCGUCCCGGCCGCGCUGCUCAUCGGGACGGCCGUGACGGGGUUCCUCACGUCGGGCGCGCUGGGGCUCGGGGGACUCUCCUCGCUCACGUGCCUCGCCAACACGGCGCGGCAGGCGUUCCAGCGCACCCCGGA